This 162-nucleotide unclassified non-coding RNA is filed under the name uncultured Cephalothecaceae. RNAcentral describes it as "sequence contains ITS2". Lineage: Eukaryota; Fungi; Ascomycota; Sordariomycetes; Sordariales. The record is from RNAcentral.
CAACCCUCAAGCCCUGGUUGCUUGGUGUUGGGACCUCUACGGUUGACCGUAGGUCCUGAAAAACAGUGGCGGGCUUGCUGUGAACCCGAGCGUAGUACAACAAUUCUCGCUUAGGGGCUCAUAGCGGGUAUCAGCCGUAAAACCCACUAUAUUUUUACAAGG